GAGUUUGAUCUUGGCUCAGAGCGAACGCUGGCGGCAGGCUUAACACAUGCAAGUCGAGCGGGCCCUUCGGGGUCAGCGGCGGACGGGUGAGUAACGCGUGGGAACGUGCCUUCUGGUUCGGAAUAACCCUGGGAAACUAGGGCUAAUACCGGGAUACGCCCUUUUGGGGAAAGGUUUACUGCCGGAAGAUCGGCCCGCGUCUGAUUAGCUAGUUGGUGGGUAAUGGCCUACCAAGGCGACGAUCAGUAGCUGGUCUGAGAGGAUGAUCAGCCACACUGGGACUGAGACACGGCCCAGACUCCUACGGGAGGCAGCAGUGGGGAAUAUUGGACAAUGGGCGCAAGCCUGACCCAGCCAUGCCGCGUGAGUGAUGAAGGCCUUAGGGUUGUAAAGCUCUUUUAUCCGGGACGAUAAUGACGGUACCGGAGGAAUAAGCCCCGGCUAACUUCGUGCUAGCCGCCGCUGUAAG
RNAcentral lists this ribosomal RNA (469 nucleotides) under uncultured microorganism. Its description in RNAcentral is "bacterial SSU rRNA". It matches the Rfam family "Bacterial small subunit ribosomal RNA", at positions 9 to 524 of the family's 1533-position model. The record is from RNAcentral.